CAGAGGUGUUCUAGAGGUGUUCCAGAGGUGCUCCAGAGGUGCUCCAGAGGUGCUCCAGAGGUGUUCCAGAGGUGUUCCAGAGGUGUUCCAGAGGUGUUCCAGAGGUGUUCCAGAGGUGCUCCAGAGGUGCUCCAGAGGUGUUCCAGAGGU
Oncorhynchus keta (chum salmon) is the source of this 150-nucleotide long non-coding RNA. RefSeq lists it as uncharacterized. Lineage: Eukaryota; Metazoa; Chordata; Actinopteri; Salmoniformes; Salmonidae. The transcript is spliced from 3 exons. The record is from RefSeq and is a predicted model, not a curated record.